GACGAACGCUGGCGGCGUGCUUAACACAUGCAAGUCGAGCGGUAAGGCCCUUUCGGGGUACGACGAGCGGCGAACGGGUAGGAGUAACAACGUGGGUGGACCUCGCCCUCCAGCUCUGGGAGUAAGACCGUCGGGAAACCGGGGUACCGUAAUAACCGGAGUAUGACUCCAUGACGCAUGUUGUGGGGUGGAAAGACCUU
Molecule: ribosomal RNA, 200 nt
Filed under: uncultured bacterium
Lineage: Bacteria
Description: partial 16S ribosomal RNA
Source: RNAcentral